UACGUAGGGGGCAAGCGUUGUCCGGAAUUACUGGGCGUAAAGGGAGCGUAGGCGGUCUGUUAAGUGGGAUGUGAAAAACCCGGGCUUAACCCGGGAGGUGCAUACUAAACUGGCAGACUUGAGUGUGGGAGAGGAAAGUGGAAUUCCUAGUGUAGCGGUGAAAUGCGUAGAUAUUAGGAGGAACACCAGUGGCGAAGGCGGCUUUCUGGACCAUAACUGACGCUGAGGCUCGAAAGCGUGGGGAGCAAAC
Molecule: ribosomal RNA, 250 nt
Filed under: uncultured bacterium
Lineage: Bacteria
Description: partial 16S ribosomal RNA
Rfam family: Bacterial small subunit ribosomal RNA
Source: RNAcentral